This 1542-nucleotide ribosomal RNA is filed under the name Escherichia coli. Its description in RNAcentral is "bacterial SSU rRNA". It matches the Rfam family "Bacterial small subunit ribosomal RNA". The record is from RNAcentral. Lineage: Bacteria; Pseudomonadati; Pseudomonadota; Gammaproteobacteria; Enterobacterales; Enterobacteriaceae.
AAAUUGAAGAGUUUGAUCAUGGCUCAGAUUGAACGCUGGCGGCAGGCCUAACACAUGCAAGUCGAACGGUAACAGAAAGAAGCUUGCUUCUUUGCUGACGAGUGGCGGACGGGUGAGUAAUGUCUGGGAAACUGCCUGAUGGAGGGGGAUAACUACUGGAAACGGUAGCUAAUACCGCAUAACGUCGCAAGACCAAAGAGGGGGACCUUCGGGCCUCUUGCCAUCGGAUGUGCCCAGAUGGGAUUAGCUUGUUGGUGGGGUAACGGCUCACCAAGGCGACGAUCCCUAGCUGGUCUGAGAGGAUGACCAGCCACACUGGAACUGAGACACGGUCCAGACUCCUACGGGAGGCAGCAGUGGGGAAUAUUGCACAAUGGGCGCAAGCCUGAUGCAGCCAUGCCGCGUGUAUGAAGAAGGCCUUCGGGUUGUAAAGUACUUUCAGCGGGGAGGAAGGGAGUAAAGUUAAUACCUUUACUCAUUGACGUUACCCGCAGAAGAAGCACCGGCUAACUCCGUGCCAGCAGCCGCGGUAAUACGGAGGGUGCAAGCGUUAAUCGGAAUUACUGGGCGUAAAGCGCACGCAGGCGGUUUGUUAAGUCAGAUGUGAAAUCCCCGGGCUCAACCUGGGAACUGCAUCUGAUACUGGCAAGCUUGAGUCUCGUAGAGGGGGGUAGAAUUCCAGGUGUAGCGGUGAAAUGCGUAGAGAUCUGGAGGAAUACCGGUGGCGAAGGCGGCCCCCUGGACGAAGACUGACGCUCAGGUGCGAAAGCGUGGGGAGCAAACAGGAUUAGAUACCCUGGUAGUCCACGCCGUAAACGAUGUCGACUUGGAGGUUGUGCCCUUGAGGCGUGGCUUCCGGAGCUAACGCGUUAAGUCGACCGCCUGGGGAGUACGGCCGCAAGGUUAAAACUCAAAUGAAUUGACGGGGGCCCGCACAAGCGGUGGAGCAUGUGGUUUAAUUCGAUGCAACGCGAAGAACCUUACCUGGUCUUGACAUCCACGGAAGUUUUCAGAGAUGAGAAUGUGCCUUCGGGAACCGUGAGACAGGUGCUGCAUGGCUGUCGUCAGCUCGUGUUGUGAAAUGUUGGGUUAAGUCCCGCAACGAGCGCAACCCUUAUCCUUUGUUGCCAGCGGUCCGGCCGGGAACUCAAAGGAGACUGCCAGUGAUAAACUGGAGGAAGGUGGGGAUGACGUCAAGUCAUCAUGGCCCUUACGACCAGGGCUACACACGUGCUACAAUGGCGCAUACAAAGAGAAGCGACCUCGCGAGAGCAAGCGGACCUCAUAAAGUGCGUCGUAGUCCGGAUUGGAGUCUGCAACUCGACUCCAUGAAGUCGGAAUCGCUAGUAAUCGUGGAUCAGAAUGCCACGGUGAAUACGUUCCCGGGCCUUGUACACACCGCCCGUCACACCAUGGGAGUGGGUUGCAAAAGAAGUAGGUAGCUUAACCUUCGGGAGGGCGCUUACCACUUUGUGAUUCAUGACUGGGGUGAAGUCGUAACAAGGUAACCGUAGGGGAACCUGCGGUUGGAUCACCUCCUUA